This 484-nucleotide ribosomal RNA is filed under the name uncultured bacterium. Its description in RNAcentral is "partial 16S ribosomal RNA". It matches the Rfam family "Bacterial small subunit ribosomal RNA", at positions 30 to 507 of the family's 1533-position model. The record is from RNAcentral.
AUUGAACGCUGGCGGCAGGCCUAACACAUGCAAGUCGAGCGGAUGACGGGAGCUUGCUCCUUGAUUCAGCGGCGGACGGGUGAGUAAUGCCUAGGAAUCUGCCUGGUAGUGGGGGACAACGUUUCGAAAGGAACGCUAAUACCGCAUACGUCCUACGGGAGAAAGCAGGGGACCUUCGGGCCUUGCGCUAUCAGAUGAGCCUAGGUCGGAUUAGCUUGUUGGUGAGGUAAUGGCUCACCAAGGCGACGAUCCGUAACUGGUCUGAGAGGAUGAUCAGUCACACUGGAACUGAGACACGGUCCAGACUCCUACGGGAGGCAGCAGUGGGGAAUAUUGGACAAUGGGCGAAAGCCUGAUCCAGCCAUGCCGCGUGUGUGAAGAAGGUCUUCGGAUUGUAAAGCACUUUAAGUUGGGAGGAAGGGUUGUAGAUUAAUACUCUGCAAUUUUGACGUUACCGGCAGAAUAAGCACCGGCUAACUCUGUG